This is a long non-coding RNA of Athene cunicularia (burrowing owl), 244 nucleotides long. RefSeq lists it as uncharacterized. The record is from RefSeq and is a predicted model, not a curated record. The transcript has 3 exons. NCBI's taxonomy places the organism in Eukaryota, Metazoa, Chordata, Aves, Strigiformes, Strigidae.
UUAACUCCCAGUGCUGGAGCCUGUGUUUUCCUUCAGUGGAGAUAAUAGAGUUUGAUUCUCACUGUGAAGAUACCAAAGGCUGUUAACUCAAGUGCAGUGAAGAUAAGCUAACCAGUCUAUAUAUGGAACCAUGCAAGGUAUGGAUUAUACAGAAUAGCCCAGCCCCAUUUUGAAGUAAGAGGAGAGAAAGUAUAUGAGAAAAUUUUCAAGUGCAAUGCCUAGUUCAUUGCAGAUCCAAGUGUAG